AAUACAAAGUAAAAAAUUACGACUCUUUUAAUAGUUUUUUCUUGCUAUAGAACACGCAAUCACGUAUUGGAUAGCUAUUUCAUUCUUUGCCAGGAAACAUCCAACUUCCUACAUCUGCAUAAUUUGAUUCAGUUAUGCACUUGCAAUAUACAUAAUUGAAUUACACAUCUUUUAUUUAUCACCCCUAUCAGAAUCAAAUAAAUACCCUUGUGCACCUCCGCACGAAAAGCGCGGUAAGGCAAGGCCAAUAUAUAGUCAAACGAACGCGACAAAUACCGGACCGAUGCUACAACAGGCAGUCUGUUCGAGCAGGCAGCCUCCGGAAGAAAUUGACGGGCAACGAGGGAAGCUUGUGACGGAACCUGGGAUGCCUCAAAAUGUAAAACCCCACCAAAAGCCCCAGCACUUGGAACGGCGUCACGUAAAGCACAAUGGCCAUAAUCAAGCAGAACGUAACGAAAAGCGCCGAGGCCCUUGGAUCCCUCCAGCUAAUAAGCGAGUGGAACCUCUCCCCCUGCGUCGCCAGAUCCCCCACCACCGUCUGGAUCCUCCCCGCUAUGCUCCGCAGCCGGUCGUACCU
Rhododendron vialii is the source of this 580-nucleotide long non-coding RNA. RefSeq lists it as uncharacterized. Lineage: Eukaryota; Viridiplantae; Streptophyta; Magnoliopsida; Ericales; Ericaceae. The record is from RefSeq and is a predicted model, not a curated record. The transcript is spliced from 2 exons.